Molecule: long non-coding RNA, 1802 nt
Filed under: Ananas comosus (pineapple)
Lineage: Eukaryota; Viridiplantae; Streptophyta; Magnoliopsida; Poales; Bromeliaceae
Description: long non-coding RNA (ACOM_LNC040456)
Source: RNAcentral
GGAGAAAAAGUACUCGUUGAAAAGUUAUACUGUAUGUACGCAACAGAGUAGUCUAUUGUUGGUCCGGUUUUGGUUUUUGUGAUCUUUGACAUCGAUGCGUUUCAAAUUUACACACUCGGGGCAUAAUAAAAUAAUAUAAUUAGGUUUUACUCUUUGUUCGCAAGAAUGAGAAAAAGUACUCAUUGCAAAGUUAUAAUCUUAUGGAGCAACUGAGCAGUCUAAUGUUUUUCCGGUUUUUGUUCUUCCGAACAUUGACAUCGAUAUGUUGCAAAUUUACACUCUCGGGGCAUAAUAGAAUAAUAAAAUUAGGUUUUACUCUUUGUUCGUUUGAACGAUAAAAAGUACUCAUUGCAAAGUUAUAAUCUCAUGGAGCAACUGAGCAGUCUAAUAUUUUUCCAGUUUUGGUACUUGUGAACGUUGACAUCGAUAAGUUGAAAAUUUACACUCUCGGGGAAUAAUGGACCAAUAUAAUUAGGUUUUACCCUUUGUUCGGUUGAAGGAGAAAAUGUACUCGUUGAAAAGUUAUACUAUUAGGGCGCAACAGAGAAGUCUAAUGUUGGUCCGGUUUUAGUUCUUGUGAACGUUGACAUCGAUACGUUGCAAAUUUACACUCUCGGGGCAUAUUAAAAUAUUAUAAUUAGGUUUUACUCGUUGUUCGUUUGAAUGAGAAAAAGUACUCAUUGCAAAGUUAUAAUCUUAUGGAGCAACUGAGCAGUCUAAUAUUUUUCCGGUUUUGGUUCUUCUAACAUUGACAUCGAUACGUUGCAAAUUUACACUCUCGGGGCAUAAUAGAACAAUAUAAUUAGGAUUUACUCUUUGUUCGAUUGAAUGAGAAAAAGUGCUCGUUGCAAAGUUAUACUGUUAGGGCGCCACUGAGUAGUCUUCUGUAGGUCUGGUUUUGGUUUAUGUGCAUGUUGACAUUGAUACAUUGCAAAUUUAUACAUUCGGGGCAUAAUAUAACAAUAUAAUUAGGUUUUACUCUUCGUUCGGUUGAAUGAGAAAAAGUACUCGUUGCCAAGUUAUACUGUUAGGGCGCAACUGAGUAGUCUAAUGUAUGUCCGGUUUUGGUUAUUGUGAACGUUGACAUUGAUACGUUGUAAAUUUACACUCUCGGGGCAUAAUAGAACAAUAUAAUUAGGUUUUACUCUUUGUUCGGUUGAAUGAGAAAAAGUACUCGUUGCAAAGUUAUACUGUUAGGGCGCAACUGAGUGGGCUACAGUUGGUCUGGUUUUGGUUUAUGUGAAAGUUGACAUCGAUAAGUUGCAAAUUUACACUCUCGGGGCAUAAUAGAAUAAUAUAAAUAGGUUUAACUCUUUGUUCGAUUGAAUGAGAAAAAGCACUGUUUGCAAAGUUAUACUGUUAGGGCGCAACUAAGAAGGCUACUGUUGGUCUGGUUUUGGUUAACGUGAACGUUGACAUCGAUACGUUGCUAAUUUACACACUCGGGGCAUAAUAAAACAAUAUAAUUAGGUUUUACUUUUCGUUCGGUUGAAUGAGAAAAAGUACUCGUUGCCAAGUUAUACUGUUAGGGCGCAACUGAGUUGUCUAAUGUUUGUCCGGUUUUGGUUAUUGUGAACGUUGACAUUGAUACGUUGCACAUUUACACUCUCGGGGCAUAAUAGACCAAUAUAAUUGGGUUUUACUCAUUGUUCGGUUGAAGAUGAAAAAGUACUCGUUGAGAAGUUAUACUGUUAGUGCGCAACAGAGUAGUCUAAUGUUGGUCCGGUUUUGGUUUUUGUGAACGUUGACAUCGAUGCGUUGCAAAUUUACACUCUCGGGGCAUAAUAAAACAAUAUAAUUAG